GAUGAACGCUGGCGGCGUGCCUAAUACAUGCAAGUCGAGCGAACAGAUGAGGAGCUUGCUCCUCUGACGUUAGCGGCGGACGGGUGAGUAACACGUGGAUAACCUACCUAUAAGACUGGGAUAACUUCGGGAAACCGGAGCUAAUACCGGAUAAUAUAUUGAACCGCAUGGUUCAAUAGUGAAAGACGGUUUUGCUGUCACUUCUAGAUGGAUCCGCGCCGCAUUAGCUAGUUGGUAAGGUAACGGCUUACCAAGGCAACGAUGCGUAGCCGACCUGAGAGGGUGAUCGGCCACACUGGAACUGAGACACGGUCCAGACUCCUACGGGAGGCAGCAGUAGGGAAUCUUCCGCAAUGGGCGGAAGCCUGACGGAGCAACGCCGCGUGAGUGAUGAAGGUCUUCGGAUCGUAAAACUCUGUUAUUAGGGAAGAACAAAUGUGUAAGUAACUAUGCACGUCUUGACGGUACCUAAUCAGAAAGCCACGGCUAACUACGUG
RNAcentral lists this ribosomal RNA (497 nucleotides) under uncultured bacterium. RNAcentral describes it as "partial 16S ribosomal RNA". It matches the Rfam family "Bacterial small subunit ribosomal RNA", at positions 28 to 507 of the family's 1533-position model. The record is from RNAcentral.